UACGUAGGGGGCAAGCGUUGUCCGGAAUCAUUGGGCGUAAGGCGCGUGUAGGCGGUCCGGUAAGUCCGCUGUGAAAGUCGGGGGCUCAACCCUCGGAUGCCGGUGGAUACUGUCGGGCUUGAGUACGGAAGAGGCGAGUGGAAUUCCUGGUGUAGCGGUGAAAUGCGCAGAUAUCAGGAGGAACACCAAUUGCGAAGGCAGCUCGCUGGGACGUUACUGACGCUGAGACGCGAAAGCGUGGGGAGCAAACAGG
This 253-nucleotide ribosomal RNA is filed under the name uncultured bacterium. RNAcentral describes it as "partial 16S ribosomal RNA". It matches the Rfam family "Bacterial small subunit ribosomal RNA", at positions 524 to 776 of the family's 1533-position model. The record is from RNAcentral.